Molecule: ribosomal RNA, 253 nt
Filed under: uncultured bacterium
Lineage: Bacteria
Description: partial 16S ribosomal RNA
Rfam family: Bacterial small subunit ribosomal RNA
Source: RNAcentral
UACAGAGGUCCCGAGCGUUGUUCGGAUUCACUGGGCGUAAAGGGUGCGCAGGUGGGUUGGCAAGUUUGAUGUGAAAGCCCCGGGCUUAACCCGGGAAUGGCAUUGAAUACUGCUGAUCUGGAGGAUUGGAGGGGGGACUGGAAUUCUUGGUGUAGCAGUGAAAUGCGUAGAUAUCAAGAGGAACACCAGUGGCGAAGGCGAGUCCCUGGACAAUUCCUGACACUGAGGCACGAAAGCCAAGGGAGCAAACAGG